GAUGAACGCUAGGCGGGGAGGCUUAAAUACAUGCAAGUCGAGCCGGUAAGGUUUUCGGACCCUAGAGCGGCGAACGGGUGAGUAACGCGUACGAAACCUACCUUUAAGAGAGGAAUAGCCCCUGGGGAAACUCGGGAGUAAUGCCUCAUAGUAUUCAUUUACCGCAUGGUUUAUGGAUUAAAGCUACGGGCGCUUAAAAGAUGGUCGUGGCGUCUGAUUAGCUAGUUGGUAGGGUAACGGCCUACCAAGGCUACGAUCAGUAGGGGGGCUGAGAGCGUGGCCCCCCCCAANACGGGGUACUGAGACAC
This 308-nucleotide ribosomal RNA is filed under the name uncultured bacterium. Its description in RNAcentral is "bacterial SSU rRNA". It matches the Rfam family "Bacterial small subunit ribosomal RNA", at positions 28 to 327 of the family's 1533-position model. The record is from RNAcentral.